CGCAGGUCCUCUGCAUGCUUUGCUUAUAUAUUUAUAUAAUCUCUCUCAAAAUCAUUAUAGCAUUAAAUGGUUCUCGUAUUCAAUUAUUUUGAAUUUCAUAACUUCUAAAGAAUUUGUUUAUUCCAUUUUAUUUACUUGCUAGUGGGCUCGGCCAAUGCAUAAGGUCAUUGAUAUGAUAGAUAGUUAAAAUAAUGGUAAUGACAGCACAUUUAAAAAAUACCAAACGUAGAACUUUUCAGUGGAAAAAAGUCUAAAAAGUGCAUUAGCUUACAUUGUCUGAAAAAAGUGUUGCGUUACUGUUUUAAUUGUGUCUUGUUUUUGCACUUCUUAAUUUAUUUAUUGUUGCAUUUUACAAUUCUGAAGGCUUGGGGUGAAUGUGCUUUAAAUUUUAUUUCCCUGCUUUUAAAUACCUGUAAUGUUCAGUUGCAAACAUAUCACUCCAAUAAGUUUUAAAAAUAAGACGAUACAUGGUUUAGAUAAUUAAUAUGUAAUCUCAGUUUUAUACCAUUUACGUCUAGAGAAUUUGAAUUCUUCUGAUAUUAAGUUUAUAAACUACUGUUACUACUGGUUUGCUAUGCACAAAACUAUGCAUAAAACUAUACAACAUUUAAUUUAGACAGAUAUAUGUAUAUAUAUAUAGUUGACCUUUAUAGUCAGUCAAGGUCGGAAGACACUCCUGUAUAUUAUCAUAUUGAAAUAAAAUAACUCGAGCCUUGAUAUCACGCGAUAUCCAAUUCUGUUGCACUACAAUCGCAUUAUAAUCAUAUGAAAAUGAUCUAAAUUAUCUAAAUCAAAGGUUAUGUUUGGUGUUUUUUUUUUUAUUUAAUGCAUUUUACAUUUUUAGCUAUAAAAAUGUUUUAAUUUUACUUUGCAUGUUUUAUGUACAUUAAAUAGUGCUACGUCACAAGUUGUUUACGCGUACAUUAUAGAGGUUCAUUAUAGAGGCAUAUAAAUAAGAAGAUGUGAGGUAUGAUUGCCAAUGAGACAACUCUCCACAAAAGACCAAAUGACACAAAAAGUAACAGCUAUAGGUCAACAAUGACCAAAGCCCAUACUGCAAAGUAAGCUAUAAAAAAAUCUGAAUCGGGAUAUGAAAAAGUUUUACAAAUAUACAAGUAAAAAUAUUUUGCUAUCAAAAUAUUUUCUUACAUGACUAUCCGUAUCAAUCAAACUUAGCUUUUUGAUAAGACUGUAAAGUAAAUACAUUACAAUAUAUACUAUUAUCAUUUUAGAUUAUUACAGUGUAUGUUUUACAUUCAUAUUCCCCGAUAAACAUGUUCCAAUUAAUGAACGUAUAUGAGUGUGUUUGUCAAUGAGACAGCAACCUUGAGACAAAACGAAAAAAAAAAAACACAAAAAAACAUAAACAUAAACAUAAACAUAAACAUAAACAAAACAAAUAAAAAAAACCAGCACACACAGAUAAGGCAGCAACCAUUUGAAUUUCUGGGGGGGGGGGGGGGCUAUGGGUUUUUUCUGGACAAAUUAUUUUUUUCGCCUGUGGCGAAAAACAAUCUAUUUUUUCGCGACAAGUCGAAAACAAUUUUUUUCUUUCAAUUUUAGCAUUACAUAUACCCCCCCCCCGGAAUCAAAUGGGCUGCCUAAGUCACAGAUAUUGUUUUAUUUAAAUAAUAAAAAAUAUUGGUUUAUUUCAUUUUUUUUGGUAACCAGAAAUGUUAAUAACAUAUAUAUUUGUAAUGUUAUCAUCCAAAUAUGACCUAAUAGAUGAUUGUAAGAAGGGGCUAUGAAUAAUUAGAUGAGGGGUAACAGACAGUGAAAUGAAAUCAGGUUUGAACCAUUAAUUCUCAACUUUUAUUUUUCUUACAGCAAAAGCAACCAGUCCUGAACUAUGUGGAAGUCGAAUUCACCAAACCACCUUCCAAAAAACAAUCAAUCAACAGAAAAGACAGUAAAACUGAAUAUGCUGACGUCACUGUUAAAAAUAAGACUGUUAUUGUUAAAUAAACUUGUAAUUAUAUUAUGUAACUUAAAAUGUGUUUAAAGAACAAAUAAUGGGCAAUGAUUUAGAAAAUGUGAAAUGAAAAACAAAAUAUGUGCAGGCAUAUACAAUGCCAGUUAGUUCGUAUUGAACUGGUUUCAAGGUGAUAUCAAAACGAUAAGGAUAAAUGUCAAUUUUCUCCCCCCCUAAAAAGGAACCAGUAUUUUAUAUGACGACUCCUUACAAUAUUGGACAACACUUAAAAAAGUUUUGUCAGCCCAUAAUUGUGCAAAUUGAAAGAUUUUUUUUUUGUAAAUAUGAUAUAUUGUUACAUAACACAAAAUGCACCACCAUUUUGUAUUCUAGUCUUCACAUGUAAAUAUGUUUAUUGUUUUCGCUGAAUUGACCACCUGAUGACUAUAACAAGACUUUCAUUUUGUUCAUCUUUUUUUUUAUUGAACACCUAUUGCCCCACUCUUAAUUUUGCAGUUUGUCUAUAAUUUGUAUUGUUUGAAUGUUAAAUCGAGUUUUCUUCAUACGUAUCCCCCCCCCCUUGAUUUUGAUUUCAAUUAGAGGCCACUUUCAUAAAACAACCUGAAAAAUAGCAAAAGUCUAAAUAUUUGGCUGAAUUGGAACUCUGUAGACUCCCAUACAAUAAACAAUUUCCUAAAUUUAUUAAAACCCACUGUAUAUGCAGUCUAAAGCAGUCGGCAUUCCUUGGUCCUACAGGUCAAUACAUGAGACCAAAAUCGUCAAUAAAAUUGAGAAUGGAAAUGGGGAAUGUGCCAAAGAGACAACAACCCGACCUUAGAAAAAAACAACAGCAGAAGGUCACCAACAGGUCUUCAAUGUAGCGAGAAAUUCCGGCACCCGGAGGCGUCCUUCAACUGGCCCCUAAACAAAUAUAUACUAUAUCCACUUUUUAGAAUUAUUUGGCACAUUGUUGAGAAACAUUGCUGAAAGUGGUAAAUUGUGUUAAGAUUUGGUUAAAUCUUCAAUUACUGAAUUUAAAACUACUCUUAGUAACCAAAACUUGUUUGUAUUUUUUUUGCUUGGUUUUAACAGCAAAUAUGUUCCAAGAAAUGGAACAGCUUCAUUAACAUUUCAAUUGCAAUGUAACUAAUACAAAUCUUAAAAGAUUUGAAUUUAGACAACUCAGAUUUUAUUUUGAGUAUAGUUUUAAAAUAUAUAUAUGAUUUGUUAAUUUGUACUUUAAUAUAUGCUAUAAAUUAUUUUGUAAUAAAAUGUUUUUGUAAACUAAUUAUGGUGUUAGGCUCUUAAACUUCUUGAUACCCCUGUCACAUGCAAUGACAGAUACAUAAAAAUGUGGUGUGUAAUGAAAAAGUGGAGACCAAGAGAAUAGCAACUGUUGCAUUGCUAGUGGUUGGCGGGACUGCUUACUUUACAACAGUGUUCACUGCAGUGUUUUAGUCGUAUCAUAGUUUUAAAAAACUCUGCAAGUACAAGUACAAUUUUACAGGAAGAAAACGAAAUAAAAACUACGCAAGAAAAGGUGAUAUUUGGCUAUUUCGGCUCUAAUAAAAAAAACAAGAGGCUCUCAAGAGCCUGAAUCGCUCACCUGAAUUUUUUUGGUUUAAUCUCUCAUCAA
RNAcentral lists this long non-coding RNA (3548 nucleotides) under Mytilus galloprovincialis (Mediterranean mussel). The record is from RNAcentral. Lineage: Eukaryota; Metazoa; Mollusca; Bivalvia; Mytilida; Mytilidae.